GGCGGGUUGAAUAAUCAAGAAGAUCCCAAUUCAUUCAAAGCUCUAACUAUCACUGAGCAACACAUGCUUCAAUGACAAUCUGAACUUCGAAUUAAUUUGUAAAACGGAAAUUCUUUAGAAACUUGAAGAUUAGAAAGAAUGGGUCAGAAUACUCGCACUUUCGAACAUUGAAAAGAAAGGUAUGAAUACUUGAAACAUAUACCAAAGGAAUGGAUCAGAAUAUUUGCAAUAUAUCCAAGAGAAAGGUUUAGGAUACUUGCAACACAUAUAGAAAAGAAUGGAUCAGAAUAUGCAAUAUAUCCAAAAGCAGGGUGUAGGAUACUUGCCUUAAAUCUGACUCCCGUCUCACAGCUCAUUCUCAUCUUUCAACUUUCACAAUCUAUGCAUCUCGUAAUCUCUAGACCAUCUCUAGCUAUACUCUAUUCGCCACAUCGCUUCGCUUACUCGAUUCAUCCCUUAUUCGCUUUGCAAUACCAUU
Molecule: long non-coding RNA, 478 nt
Filed under: Daucus carota (carrot)
Lineage: Eukaryota; Viridiplantae; Streptophyta; Magnoliopsida; Apiales; Apiaceae
Description: long non-coding RNA (DCAR_LNC004924)
Source: RNAcentral